RNAcentral lists this long non-coding RNA (896 nucleotides) under Equus caballus (horse). RNAcentral's name for it is "lncRNA (ENSECAG00000049443.1)". The record is from RNAcentral. Lineage: Eukaryota; Metazoa; Chordata; Mammalia; Perissodactyla; Equidae.
GUCUGCUGGAGGAAAGGGCAUCUCCUGCUCUUUUGAGGGCUGUUAAAUAUAACAUCCGAAUGGAUAAUGAUAUCAUGGGAUCCUCAACACCAUCGUGACCUAUUAGAGUCAGGUCAUGUGAGUCCAGGUGAUAAAUGAGGUCAUAAUGGCAGAGAUUAGUACAGACCUCAAGGACUAAAAGAUUCAGAGGUGUCAAUCCUCUUCAUAUUUCCAUUUAAUUCAUGGGUCUGACCCCCACAAAUACAGAUAUUACCACAAUUGAUUCCAUCUCUUCUGCUGGAAGGUGGAAAACUUCAAAGGUGUAAGCAAUCAUGAGCCUUUUACAAAAGAGAAAGAAUGAGGGUCCCUAUGGCCUGCAGAGCCUUUUCUGGGAACUUCUAGGCUGUUCCAUGUUCCAUGUUCUAGACUGUUCUAGGCUGUGCCAUGGAAAUAUAACACGAGCCACCAAUAUGAGCCACCUGUGUAAUUUAAAAGUUUCUACUAACUACAAUCAAAAGAGCAAAAAGAAACAGCACAUCUCAGUUCCGACUAGUCACAUGGCAAGUGCUGAGUAGCCACACAGUGGGCAGUGGCUGUGGACAGUGUAUUCUAGACCAUCUCCUGCAACCAGAAGGGGAGCCCUGGUGCUUUUUUCAAAACCUGGGAGCAAGACUUGUCGCCUGCUGAUGUCAUUUAGUCACUUGUUCCCUGGGGCUUAAUUCUAAUAUUCCCUCUGAGCACAAGUCCCUGUCCAGGUAAUCCCACUAGACUUUACACAGAAAUAAACGCCCUCCCUUCAUGUUUCACAUGAAAGCCCUGGGGGAUCCUGAAACAAAAGAGUGGAAUUUGCAUGUGUUGUUCAUUCUUCCUCAAUUAUAUAUGCAGAUAUCUUAAACAAACAAAAAAAACACUACCUU